Molecule: ribosomal RNA, 222 nt
Filed under: uncultured bacterium
Lineage: Bacteria
Description: partial 16S ribosomal RNA
Rfam family: Bacterial small subunit ribosomal RNA
Source: RNAcentral
UACGUAGGGUGCAAGCGUUAAUCGGAAUUACUGGGCGUAAAGCGUGCGCAGGCGGUUUUUGUAAGUCUGUCGUGAAAAUCCCCCGGGCUCAACCUGGGAAUUGCGAUGGAGACUGCAAGGCUAGAAUCUGGCAGAGGGGGGGGUAGAAUUCCACUGUAGCAGUGAAAUGCGUAGAGAUGUGGAGGAACACCGAUGGCGAAGGCAGCCUCCUGGGCCAACACU